Molecule: long non-coding RNA, 475 nt
Filed under: Canis lupus dingo (dingo)
Lineage: Eukaryota; Metazoa; Chordata; Mammalia; Carnivora; Canidae
Description: lncRNA (ENSCAFG00020018363.1)
Source: RNAcentral
AUAAUUGCCAAGUGCCGCAGGCUUGGAAAACCUUUGAACUCCUCAAGGUAUUAGGGGACGGCAGAAAGGAUAUUAUCUGAUUUCUCUUCCUUCUCCAGUUCAGUUUUCAGGUUGAAGGUGCCCCAUUUCCCCUCCAGAGGGGUCUGCCUUCCUAAAGGUACACCGUGCCCUCCCGUUCUUCCAGGUUGCCCACUGUACACUCCGAAGAGAACCGUGACGAACUUGCCCUCUUGGGUCUUGAGUUGCCCAGAUGCGGAUGAAAGCGAACAUUUUUAUAAUCCUCCCCUCCUCACCACAUUUAGUUCCCUGGUGUUGAACAUGUGGGCUUGAUUAAAGGAGAGAAAGAGCCACGGAGAGGAGUUAGAUUCUCCAUCCCCUCCUUCCCCUCAGCCACCAAGGCCCCAAGCGUGGAGGGCAGGGCCCGGACCUCGUCGUCUCAUCGUGGUGUGUCUAUCAGAGGACUCAACACGUCAUG